Molecule: long non-coding RNA, 363 nt
Filed under: Homo sapiens (human)
Lineage: Eukaryota; Metazoa; Chordata; Mammalia; Primates; Hominidae
Description: non-protein coding lnc-FAM71D-1:1
Source: RNAcentral
CGGCUGCGGCGGUGACGGCGGCGACGGAGGAGGCAGGCGGUGGGGCGGGGGCGGGGACUAAGGAUUCUGAGGUGGGGAGUCGGGAGUUUCUGGAUUCUUUAUCCGGAAUUUCAAGGGCCGCCGGAGGGCUGUCGCUUCUGCAGUGCGUAGGAGCGGCCGGGGCGGGAGGCUCCGCGGAGCCGAGGCGUGGAGAUUUUAAGUUUCUUAAGGAUACGGACUCUGCCUCAGCAGCCUUUUUCUUGACAAUGACUAUCCAAGUUUUUGGUACCAAGUGGGUACUCGCCUUGUUGAAUGAAAAGAAUAAGAAAGCCUUGAGUUUUGUGAAAAACCGGAGAAGAGAAACUAAAAGGACAGUAGAAAAGG